UACGUAGGAGGCGAGCGUUGUCCGGAAUUACUGGGCGUAAAGAGCGCGUAGGUGGCGCGAUACGACCGGUGUGAAAUCCUCCGGCUCAACUGGAGGGGUCACUGGUAACGGUCGUGCUGAUGAGUGCAGGAGAGGGACGUGGAACUCCGGGAGUAGCGGUGAAAUGCGUAGAGACCCGGAGGAACACCAGUGGCGAAGGCGGCGCCUGGCCUGCGAC
RNAcentral lists this ribosomal RNA (217 nucleotides) under uncultured bacterium. Its description in RNAcentral is "partial 16S ribosomal RNA". It matches the Rfam family "Bacterial small subunit ribosomal RNA", at positions 524 to 740 of the family's 1533-position model. The record is from RNAcentral.